GAGUUUGAUCAUGGCUCAGAUUGAACGCUGGCGGCAUGCCUAACACAUGCCAGUCGAACGGCAGCAUGGUCUAACUUGCUAGACUGAUGGCGAGUGGCGGACGGGUGAGUAACGCGCAGGAACAUGCCUUAAAGAGGGGGAUAACUUGGGGAAACUCAAGCUAAUACCGCAUAAGCUCUGAGGAGUAAAGCUGGGGACCUUCGGGCCUGGCGCUUUAAGAAUGGCCUGCGUACGAUUAGCUAGUUGGUGGGGUAAAGGCUUACCAAGGCGACGAUCGUUAGCUGGUUUGAGAGAAUGGCCAGCCACACUGGAACUGAGACACGGUCCAGACUCCUACGGGAGGCAGCAGUGUGGAAUAUUGGACAAUGGGGGGAACCCUGAUCCAGCAAUGCCGCGCGUGUGAAGACUGUCUGAGGGUUCUUAAUCACUUUCUCUGGUUAGGAUGAUUAUCGGGUCAAGAGCUAGGUAAUUGGACGUUAUCCACAGAACACCCACCGGCUAACUCCGUGCCAGCAGCCGCGGUAAUACGGAGGGUGCGAGCGUUAAUCGGAAUUACUGGGCGUAAAGGGUGCGCAGGUGGUUGUAUAAGUUAUCUGUGAAAAUCCCUGGGCUUAACCUGCGGCAGGCAGAUAAGAACCGUACAACUCGACCACGCGAGAGGGUAUUGGAAUUUCCCGUGUACGGUGAAAUGCUUACAGAUCUAAGGAACACCAGCGGCCAAGGCGGCUACUGCCUAAUACUGACAC
RNAcentral lists this ribosomal RNA (746 nucleotides) under uncultured bacterium. Its description in RNAcentral is "bacterial SSU rRNA". It matches the Rfam family "Bacterial small subunit ribosomal RNA", at positions 9 to 746 of the family's 1533-position model. The record is from RNAcentral.